Molecule: long non-coding RNA, 232 nt
Filed under: Phoenix dactylifera (date palm)
Lineage: Eukaryota; Viridiplantae; Streptophyta; Magnoliopsida; Arecales; Arecaceae
Description: long non-coding RNA (PDAC_LNC020128)
Source: RNAcentral
UUCUCUUUUAUAGGCGGGGGUCGGUUUACCUGUGAUGUAACGGGGCGAGGCCGUAGUACGGCUCGGCAUGUUGUUCAGGUCGGCGCACGAUCAGGUGAAUCAUUGCGUUGAUGUCGGCGGUGAGGUCGUCGUACGACCUGGGCUUGCACGCUACCAGACGAAUUAUUGCAUUGGUGUCGGAGGUAUGGCCGAGAUCAGAGACUUAUCAUGGUUGACUAAACUCUGCUGGGCU